UACAGAGGGUGCAAGCGUUAAUCGGAAUGACUGGGCGUAAAGGGUGCGUAGGUGGUUAUUUAAGUGAGCUGUGAAAUCCCUGGGCUUAACCUGGGAAUGGCAUCUCAUACUGGAUAGCUAGAGUAGGUCAGAGGAGUGUGGAAUUUCCGGUGUAGCGGUGAAAUGCGUAGAGAUCGGAAAGAACACCAGUGGCGAAGGCGGCACUCUGGGGCCAUACUGACACUGAAGCACGAAAGCGUGGGGAUCAAACAGG
RNAcentral lists this ribosomal RNA (253 nucleotides) under uncultured bacterium. Its description in RNAcentral is "partial 16S ribosomal RNA". It matches the Rfam family "Bacterial small subunit ribosomal RNA", at positions 524 to 776 of the family's 1533-position model. The record is from RNAcentral.